UCAAACGAAUUUCGAACGAAUGAUUCCAUUACAACGAAAACUAUUAAAACCUGAGGAUGGCCUAUAUGAAUUGGCCGAAAACGUUUGGAAUAAACAAAUAAAUCGGCAAAAAAUUCAGUGUAAGCCUGAGUAAUAAAUGAAUAAAAUAUUCAAAAUAAAAUCAAUUAAAGUGUUGAAAAAAGGCACUGUUACACUUAUUUAUAAAAGCUGAUGAUACAGCUCAAGAUACUUGCUGGACCAAGGAUCUCACCUUAUCUUAAUAAGGAAAAUUUUCUGGUGAUGGAAUGGACAUUGAAAUUUUUACAAUUAUGCAUCUGAAAC
This is a long non-coding RNA of Centruroides sculpturatus (bark scorpion), 321 nucleotides long. RefSeq lists it as uncharacterized. The record is from RefSeq and is a predicted model, not a curated record. Lineage: Eukaryota; Metazoa; Arthropoda; Arachnida; Scorpiones; Buthidae. The transcript has 3 exons.